Molecule: ribosomal RNA, 253 nt
Filed under: uncultured bacterium
Lineage: Bacteria
Description: partial 16S ribosomal RNA
Rfam family: Bacterial small subunit ribosomal RNA
Source: RNAcentral
UACAGAGGGUGCGAGCGUUGUUCGGAAUUACUGGGCGUAAAGUGUGCGCAGGUGGCCGCGCAAGUCGAGUGUGAAAUCCCCGAGCUUAACUUGGGAAUUGCGCUCGAAACUACGUGGCUCGAGUGUGGCAGAGGAAGGUGGAAUUCCACGUGUAGCGGUGAAAUGCGUAGAGAUGUGGAGGAACACCGAUGGCGAAGGCAGCCUUCUGGGCCAACACUGACGCUCAUGCACGAAAGCGUGGGGAGCAAACAGG